CUCAUUCUUAUAAUUCUAACGGUCAUAAGCCUCUUCACUUAACUCUGUCUGUUCUUUGUCCUGCAUAAUCCUAGUCAAUAAUUCCAGCUCUUUUGUUUGAAUCACUCAGAGAGCGUGUGUUGCUGAGUUUCCUCCUGCUGGUGGCAUUCUCUUGGGAAGGACUGCCUCUCCUGCCCUGGAUUUGGAUCUUGACCUUUACUGAGCGCAUUUAGCUUCCAUCAAAAUUGACUGCACACAUUCUUUGUUCAUGAAUCAGACGUCGUCGAUACAGCUUUCAUGGGAUUAGGAUGCUUUAUUCCAACCUUCAUCUUCAGGGAUUUCCAUGUAGAUGCUGCAUUGAUGUUCUAGGUAUUCUAAAAGAUGCAAAGUAGAAUUAGACAAUGAUUCUGCUCUGAAGCCAUCUAUAAUUUCAUAAUGAAGAUAUAAUGACAAUUCAAAUUUACAAGAGAAAGUAAUGUGCCAGAAACGAGAACCUACCAAGCAUCUGGGCAGGGAAAACACUGUUUCUGAUGUACAAGGGCCAAGCCAGAAGGGCAUCCUGGGGCAAGACAGACGUAUCAGUGACUGCAAAUAAUUCCUGGACAUUUCCUAUUUUUUAUUGUAUUUUCCCUCAGUUAUCUACACUUUCUCUUUUUCCCAAUAAAAUUAGUCCAAUCUUACAUUACAAUAUUUCACCUUGUUAAUAAAACCCAGGACCAAAGAAGGAGAAUAACAGGGUUUUCUAAUCACCAUAUCUUAAUCUCUGAAUCUAGUCUGGACAGAAUGAUCACUUCCUGGAGGAAGUUGUCAUAGGGAGCGUUUACCAGCCAGUGGAAUAGGGACCCCUGCCG
This 830-nucleotide long non-coding RNA is filed under the name Equus caballus (horse). RNAcentral describes it as "lncRNA (ENSECAG00000043352.2)". Lineage: Eukaryota; Metazoa; Chordata; Mammalia; Perissodactyla; Equidae. The record is from RNAcentral.